This 271-nucleotide ribosomal RNA is filed under the name unidentified marine bacterioplankton. RNAcentral's name for it is "partial 16S ribosomal RNA". It matches the Rfam family "Bacterial small subunit ribosomal RNA", at positions 70 to 339 of the family's 1533-position model. The record is from RNAcentral.
UACUCAGAGCUUGCUCUGAGUGGAAAGUGGCGAACGGGUGAGGAACACGUGAGGAACCUGCCCCCGAAGACCGGGACAACAUCGGGAAACCGGUGCUAAUACCGGAUGUCCUCGCCGAAGCUCAUGCUUUGGUGAGGAAAUGGAUUCCGCUUCGGGACGGCCUCGCGGCCUAUCAGCUUGUUGGUGGGGUAAUGGCCUACCAAGGCAACGACGGGUAGCUGGUCUGAGAGGAUGAUCAGUCACACUGGGACUGAGACACGGCCCAGACUCC